RNAcentral lists this ribosomal RNA (253 nucleotides) under uncultured bacterium. RNAcentral's name for it is "partial 16S ribosomal RNA". It matches the Rfam family "Bacterial small subunit ribosomal RNA", at positions 524 to 776 of the family's 1533-position model. The record is from RNAcentral.
UACGUAGGGGGCGAGCGUUGUCCGGAAUUAUUGGGCGUAAAGAGCUCGUAGGCGGUUCGGCAAGUCACGUGUGAAAUCUCCACGCUCAACCUGGGAACUGCGUCUGAUACUGGAUGGCUUGAAUCCGGGAGAGGGAUGCAGAAUUCCAGGUGUAGCGGUGAAAUGCGUAGAUAUCUGGAGGAAUACCGGUGGCGAAGGCGGCAUCCUGGACCGGCAUUGACGCUGAGGAGCGAAAGCCAGGGGAGCAAACGGG